Molecule: long non-coding RNA, 1857 nt
Organism: Salvelinus namaycush (lake trout)
Lineage: Eukaryota; Metazoa; Chordata; Actinopteri; Salmoniformes; Salmonidae
Exons: 3
Source: RefSeq, a predicted model, not a curated record
UAUUAGGAGUGUGCUUCACUUAGAUUCUGUUUGGUUUAUAUCAAGCUUCAGAAGCCUCCAUUUUAUGCUUGUUUCUUUGACAUAACAAAGAGAAGUAUGCGGAAGAAUGCAAGGUAAGACACCAUUUUGUUGGUCCUUUUAAUUCCUAAAUCCAAAGACAUUUGAAUAGUACAUUUUCUUUAUCAAAACUAAUGAACAUCUCUCACCUCCUUCCUUAGAUAUGUGCCAGUCCCUUCACUGUGUUCUGCUGGUGUCCAGGAACGAGGAUGUGCUUCAAGAAGACCUGCAGGUGUGUCAGACCUGCAGCAAGAUGGUCUGUCAUACCUGGAGUAUGAUAGGGAACUCUGACAGGACACGGCCGGUGGGUCUCCUGGGUAAGGCCCCCUGCUCCAGUGAGAUGCUGCUGAAGCUCGCCCUACUACAAGAGGAAUAGACCCCACAUCUGCUCCUUCUGGGUGAAGGGAGAGUGCAAGAGAGGAGUGUCCCUACAGGUGAGAAUGCCAUUAAACGAUAGCUCUAUCUCUUUUUAAGCGCUACAGUUGGGUCCUGUUUAUACAGUCCAAUGACUAAAUACAGCCCUGGCUACCUCCUGUCUGUAUGACUUGUAAUGAUGUUGAAAUUUCACUUGGUGGUGAUGUUGAGCAAUAAAUCAACCUGCAUUGACUGGGGACAACUCUCUUCCUUCCUGCUCUCUCUCUACAACCCCAUGCACGAGAGGCCCACAGACCCAGACGAUCCCCUGGCAGAAUAGAACAUUAUGGACCGUUACUAUGGUAUCAACAACCCUGUGGCUGACAAGCUGCUGAAACGAGCCUCCACCAUGCCCCAACCAUGCCCCAACUGGAUACGCCCGAGGAUAAGACCAUCACCACACUCGACAUAGGGGGGCUUCCAAAAUAUCCGACAAGGACAAUUUUUUGGGGCAGUUUCAACGAUCUGUGACAGUCGGUUGUGGUGUGCUCCUACAGGAAUCGCUUCUACCAGUUUGGGGAGAUCUGGACCACCACCAUCGUCCAGAAGCAGCAGUGUGCCUUCAUCUAGUUUGCCACAUGGCAGGCGGCUCAGCUCGCCGCUUAGAAGUCCUUCAACAAGCUCAUUAUCAACCAUGGACGUAGACUCACCGUCAAAAGUGGGGCAGGUUUUAGUGGUCCUAUGUUUCACAUGGGUUUCAUGGGUCCCCCUCUUCCCCCUUCAUGGGUAUGAGAUCCCCAGAACACAUCCACUACCCUUCUCAGGACCUCCAGCGCAUAGGAGCCCACGCUGCCCGUCACGGCGACUAGUUGCCAUGUCGGUUCUUCGCUAUGCCAAACAGUCGAGAGAAUUGUUCUGGGCAGACGUUUCCCUUAGGCACAGAUCUAGGAUCAGCUUACCUUCCCCCAAUCCUCGCCAUAGUUAUUAGGGGGAAAAACACCGAACUGACCUGGGAUCUGCUUCCAGGGGCAACGUCAUCAUCCUACGUAUUGAGGUUCACAAGGGUGUUACAAAAUGUCUGCCCACUCACUCAGUUUAACCAUAUCUCAGCAGUGGAUUUGAGUUAACAGCAAACAACUAAAGGCGUGAAAUCAAAUCCAACUCAAUCUGGGAAUUUGGUAUCAUAAGUGCAUUCUUUCAAGUUUUAAGGGCUACUGUGUUUUGUGCAUGGUGGUGCAUAAUGUCAUCUGUAUACCCACCUGUCAUGGAUCAGUGUAUUUCGUGUACAUCAUAAGAGUUGUUGAAAUGUGCCAAGCAUCCUGCAGAGUCGAUCUCUUGAGAGGAACAUUUUUAUAUUCUCAUUCAUAUUAUACAUUUGUUUCUCACUUUGAUACAAUUUUUUUCCCACAACAUGAUUAAGUUUAUUAUUGUAAUGUUUCACGUAUG